RNAcentral lists this ribosomal RNA (987 nucleotides) under Steatocranus bleheri. Its description in RNAcentral is "partial 16S ribosomal RNA". The stretch from base 188 to 987 matches the Rfam family "Bacterial large subunit ribosomal RNA", at positions 568 to 1875 of the family's 2925-position model. The record is from RNAcentral. Lineage: Eukaryota; Metazoa; Chordata; Actinopteri; Cichliformes; Cichlidae.
UGCCCAUCAGCUAGCCCACCCACCAACCCCAAAUACCCCCUAUUUAUAACCCCAAAUACACUACCCCCUAAACAACAAACCAUUUUUCCGCCCAAGUAUGGGAGACAAAAAAGGACCUAGGAGCAAUAGAAAAAGUAUCGUAAGAGAAAGCUGAAAGAGUAAUGAAACAAUCCAGUAAAGCACUAAAAAGCAGAGAUAUUUCCUUGUACCUUUUGCAUCAUGGUUUAGCUAGAACCCCUUAAGCAAAAAGAAUUGUAGUUUAAUACCCCGAAACUAAGCGAGCUACUCCAAGACAGUCUAAUUUAUAGGACCCCCCCGUCUCUGUGGCAAAAGAGUGGGAAGAGCUUUGAGUAGAGGUGACAGACCUAUCGAGCCUAGUUAUAGCUGGUUGCCUGAGAACUGAAUAGAAGUUCAGCCCUUUAAAUUCUUCAUUCCUAUUAACCAAAAACCCUUACUUCGAACAAAAGAAAUUAAAGGAGUUAGUCAAAGGGGGCACAGCCCCUUUGAGACAAGAUACAACUUUUCAAGGAGGGUUAAGAUCAUAACAAAUUAAAGGUCUAACGUCCAAGUGGGCUUAAAAGCAGCCACCUACUCAGAAAGCGUCAAAGCUCGGACGUGUACAAUCCACCUUCUAAUAAAGACAACACUAUCUCUUCCCCCUAAAUCUACCAGGCCGCUCCAUAAAAUAUGGAAACGUUUAUGCUAAUAUGAGUAAUAAGAGAGUCCCCCUCUCUCCUCGCACAAGUGUACCUCGGAGCGAACCAUUCACCGACCAUCAACGACCCCAAAACAAAGAGGGCCCUAGCCAAAAAACAAACAACUAGAAAACCACCUACCCCCCAAUCGUUAACCCCACACUGGUGUGCCCACCGGGAAAGACUAAAAGAAAAAGAAGGAACUCGGCAAACACAGACCUCGCCUGUUUACCAAAAACAUCGCCUCUUGUUCUCUUAAAUAUAAGAGGUCCCGCCUGCCCCGUGACUAUAU